RNAcentral lists this transfer RNA (82 nucleotides) under Echinostoma caproni. It matches the Rfam family "tRNA". From Rfam's summary of the family: Transfer RNA (tRNA) molecules are approximately 80 nucleotides in length. Their secondary structure includes four short double-helical elements and three loops (D, anti-codon, and T loops). The record is from Rfam by way of RNAcentral. Lineage: Eukaryota; Metazoa; Platyhelminthes; Trematoda; Plagiorchiida; Echinostomatidae.
GGCCUCGCAGCUCAGCUGGUAGAGCGUGCACGUCCAAAGCGUAGACCGUGUCCAUGCGCGAGUUCGAAUCCCACCGAGGCUA